Molecule: unclassified non-coding RNA, 400 nt
Filed under: soil metagenome
Description: partial contains 5.8S ribosomal RNA, internal transcribed spacer 2, and large subunit ribosomal RNA
Rfam family: 5.8S ribosomal RNA (bases 1-122)
Source: RNAcentral
GAUGAAGAACGCAGCGAAAUGCGAUACUUGGUGGGAAUUGCAGAAUCCCGUGAACCAUCGAGUCUUUGAACGCAAGUUGCGCCUCAAGCCAUUAGGUUGAGGGCACGUCUGCCUGGGCGUCACAUAUCGUUGCCUGAUGCCAGUUUCCUCGUGAUGGGUGACUGUGCAGGGCGAAUGAUGGCUUCCCGUGAGCAUUGUUGCCUCAUGGUUGGUUGAAAAUUGAGUCCUUGGUAGGGAGCGCCGUGAUAGAUGGUGGUUGAGUGACGAACGAGACCCAAUCAUGUGAGACCCCUACCGAAUUUGGCCUUCAUGACCCACAUGCGUCUUUGGAACGCUCAUGACGAGACCUCAGGUCAGGCGGGGCUACCCGCUGAGUUUAAGCAUAUCAAUAAGCGGAGGA